GACGAACCGUGCGAACGUUAUUCGGAAUCACUGGGCUUAAAGGGAGCGUAGGCGGGCUAUCAAGUCUGGGGUGAAAUGCCGCGGCUCAACCGUGGAACUGCCUCAGAUACUGACGGCCUCGAGGGAGAUAGGGGCAUGCGGAACUGUAGGUGGAGCGGUGAAAUGCGUUGAUAUCUACAGGAACUCCGGUGGCGAAAGCGGCGUGCUGGAUCUCUUCUGACGCUGAGGCUCGAAAGCUAGGGGAGCAAACGGG
RNAcentral lists this ribosomal RNA (253 nucleotides) under uncultured bacterium. RNAcentral's name for it is "partial 16S ribosomal RNA". It matches the Rfam family "Bacterial small subunit ribosomal RNA", at positions 524 to 776 of the family's 1533-position model. The record is from RNAcentral.